Molecule: ribosomal RNA, 349 nt
Filed under: uncultured bacterium
Lineage: Bacteria
Description: bacterial SSU rRNA
Rfam family: Bacterial small subunit ribosomal RNA
Source: RNAcentral
AGUGUAGUUAACACCUGCAUUAUUUGACGUUACCUACAGAAGAAGCACCGGCUAACUCCGUGCCAGCAGCCGCGGUAAUACGGAGGGUGCGAGCGUUAAUCGGAAUUACUGGGCGUAAAGCGCAUGCAGGCGGCCUGUUAAGUCAGAUGUGAAAGCCCGGGGCUUAACCUCGGAAUUGCAUUUUGAAACUGGCAGGCUAGAGUCUUGUAGAGGGGGGUAGAAUUUCAGGUGUAGCGGUGAAAUGCGUAGAGAUCUGAAGGAAUACCAGUGGCGAAGGCGGCCCCCUGGACAAAGACUGACGCUCAGAUGCGAAAGCGUGGGGAGCAAACAGGAUUAGAUACCCUGGUAG